RNAcentral lists this ribosomal RNA (460 nucleotides) under uncultured bacterium. RNAcentral describes it as "partial 16S ribosomal RNA". It matches the Rfam family "Bacterial small subunit ribosomal RNA", at positions 338 to 795 of the family's 1533-position model. The record is from RNAcentral.
CCUACGGGUGGCAGCAGUGAGGAAUAUUGGUCAAUGGGCGGAAGCCUGAACCAGCCAAGUAGCGUGCAGGAUGACGGCCCUACGGGUUGUAAACUGCUUUUAUACGGGAAUAACGCGCCUUACGUGUAGGGCUUUGCAUGUACCGUAUGAAUAAGGACCGGCUAAUUCCGUGCCAGCAGCCGCGGUAAUACGGAGGGUCCGGGCGUUAUCCGGAUUUAUUGGGUUUAAAGGGAGCGUAGGCGGCAUGUCAAGCGUGCUGUGAAAUGUCCGGGCUCAACCCGGGCCUUGCAGCGUGAACUGGCGGGCUUGAGUCCGGUGAAGGCAGGCGGAAUGCGUGGUGUAGCGGUGAAAUGCUUAGAUAUGACGAAGAACCCCGAUUGCGAAGGCAGCUUGCUGGAGCGGAACUGACGCUGAUGCUCGAAAGCGCGGGUAUCGAACAGGAUUAGAUACCCUUGUAGUC